RNAcentral lists this ribosomal RNA (468 nucleotides) under uncultured bacterium. RNAcentral's name for it is "partial 16S ribosomal RNA". It matches the Rfam family "Bacterial small subunit ribosomal RNA", at positions 28 to 507 of the family's 1533-position model. The record is from RNAcentral.
GACGAACGCUGGCGGCGUGCUUAACACAUGCAAGUCGAACGGAAAGGCCCUGCUUUUGUGGGGUGCUCGAGUGGCGAACGGGUGAGUAACACGUGAGUAACCUGCCCUUGACUUUGGGAUAACUUCAGGAAACUGGGGCUAAUACCGGAUAGGAGCUCCUGCUGCAUGGUGGGGGUUGGAAAGUUUCGGCGGUUGGGGAUGGACUCGCGGCUUAUCAGCUUGUUGGUGGGGUAGUGGCUUACCAAGGCUUUGACGGGUAGCCGGCCUGAGAGGGUGACCGGCCACAUUGGGACUGAGAUACGGCCCAGACUCCUACGGGGGGCAGCAGUGGGGAAUAUUGCACAAUGGGCGGAAGCCUGAUGCAGCAACGCCGCGUGCGGGAUGACGGCCUUCGGGUUGUAAACCGCUUUCGCCUGUGGCGAAGCGUGAGUGACGGUAAUGGGUAAAGAAGCACCGGCUAACUACGUG